Small nuclear RNA from Ochotona princeps (American pika), 137 nucleotides. Its record names the gene U4. It matches the Rfam family "U4 spliceosomal RNA". Rfam says of the family: U4 small nuclear RNA (U4 snRNA) is a component of the major U2-dependent spliceosome. The record is from Ensembl. NCBI's taxonomy places the organism in Eukaryota, Metazoa, Chordata, Mammalia, Lagomorpha, Ochotonidae.
AGCUUUGUGCAGUGGCAGUAUCGUAGCCAAUGAGGUUUAUCCGAGGCGCGAUUAUUGCUAAUUGAAAAUGAUUAUAAAACAGCAAAGCCCUUCAAUCAGGCCCCUUUCUGAGGUUAUCUAAUUCUACUCACAAUAGG